CCUACGGGGGGCAGCAGUGGGGAAUAUUGGGCAAUGGGCGAAAGCCUGACCCAGCAACGCCGCGUGAAGGAAGAAGGCUUUCGGGUUGGAAACUUCUUUUGACAGGGAAGAGGAGAAGACGGUACAUGACGAAUAAGCCACGGCUAACUACGUGCCAGCAGCCGCGGUAAUACGUAGGUGGCAAGCGUUGUCCGGAUUUACUGGGUGUAAAGGGCGUGUAGCCGGGUUGACAAGUCAGAUGUGAAAUCCUGCGGCUUAACCGAAGAACUGCAUUUGAAACUGUUGAUCUUGAGUACUGGAGAGUCAGCUGGCAUUCCUCGUGUAGCGGUGAACUGCUUAGAUAUUAGGCGG
Molecule: ribosomal RNA, 351 nt
Filed under: uncultured bacterium
Lineage: Bacteria
Description: partial 16S ribosomal RNA
Rfam family: Bacterial small subunit ribosomal RNA
Source: RNAcentral